RNAcentral lists this small RNA (533 nucleotides) under Pan troglodytes (chimpanzee). RNAcentral describes it as "retained intron". The record is from RNAcentral. Lineage: Eukaryota; Metazoa; Chordata; Mammalia; Primates; Hominidae.
GGUGUUUUUAUUGCAUUUUUAUAGUGCCUCACAAUUUACAGACUACUUUUAUUUAUAUUGCCACUGGAUAUAUACCCGUGAUACAUUUUCUGUUUUGAAGUGCUAAAUUGUUUGUUACAAGCAUAAAAUGAAUUGAUAGACUAUUUUAAUUGAAAAUUGAUAAUUACCACUACACAAAACUGUCAUAACUUUUUCUUUUUAAGUAUCUAGUCCUCAGACUAUUGUGGAGUUAUUCUUCCAAGAAGUUGCAAGAAAACACAUUAUAUCUCACCUCUUCUGUCAGCCAAAGGCACCUCUGAGUCAAACUGGAUUGAACUGGCCUGAAAUGAUUACUGCAAUUACCAGUUAUUUAUUGCAGCUUUUAUGGCCUAGCAAUCCUGGUUGUCUCUUUCUAGAAUGUUUGAUGGGAAAUUGCCAAUACGUACAAUUGCAGGAUUAUAUUCAACUGCUACAUCCCUGGUGUCAAGUCAAUGUUGGUUCCUGUCGAUUUAUGCUGGGAAGGUGUUACCUAGUUACAGGAGAAGGACAGAAGG